Long non-coding RNA from Maniola jurtina (meadow brown), 3653 nucleotides. RefSeq lists it as uncharacterized. The record is from RefSeq and is a predicted model, not a curated record. The transcript is spliced from 2 exons. Lineage: Eukaryota; Metazoa; Arthropoda; Insecta; Lepidoptera; Nymphalidae.
CUUUUAUACAGAAACUGUGUGUAUGUGUCAAAAGGUCCUUAGUAAUAACUAUAAUAUUCAAUGGUAUUAUUAAUAAAAAAUGUCCCCUCUCAUAAUGUUAGUGUUAACUUUUAGACUAAGUUUGAAAUUUUGUAUGCUAUUUUCAACUUAGUACUCGUAGAUGAAAUAUGAUCUUAUGCGACCGAAUGUUUAAUAGAAGUGUGCGCGCAGGUGUGUAUGCAUCUUAAGGGCCAGCAAAUACAGUACUAGACUGCGUGAACAUCCCAGACUUACGUAGUUUGUCAGAAAAAUUCGAGUAACAGUAGACUGUAAAAAUGUUAGGCUGAUGAAGAAAAAGAGGAACAGCAAUUCGAAUUAUACAACAUUAUUAUGUAUUCCUGUUGUUAAUCUGAGAUUAAUUGCUUUUUUUUAAUUUUAUAUUUUUAAGGGGCUUUUAUUAUAGGUGACCUAUACGCCAUUCCUAUUGUUACGAACUAAAUAAAAAAAACUAUAGUUAAAUCUAAUUCUUUAGAGUUUAUUUGUUGUAAGAAAGUUUAGCUGCUUGGUUCAGUAUAUAUUAAAAUUUUAUUGGUUCCAGUACGAUACCGCAUUAAAAGCCAUACGGUAUGGUCAUUUUGGGACAUGGUUUUUACCAAGAGGUAGGAUCGCAGUCAAGGGAUGCUUGCGUAGUUUGCACUUCUAUAUAUGCUAACUCUAAAGAUAUUGUUGAGUGUAAUGGAAAAUGAUGACGAUUUAAUUAACCCUAUAUUAUGCCGCGUACAGACUGAUGCAAUAUUAUGCGUGGAAUGUAUCAUCAAUGCAUAAAUUUGCCGUAUACGUUGCUGUAUACAGCAAAUUUUACUAACGUAAUAUGCAAUUUAACACACGUUGUACCAAAUUCCUAUAGUCCUAAUUCCUGGAAGUCUUGCUAGCAUGAGCCUACUUUUGUCGCGCCCGCUACAAACAUUACUAGUCCUAUGCUGAACGAUCCAUUUUUCUGUUUUUGAGACUAUCAAGUUGCCUUCAACUACGGAAAUAUAAUAUAAUAUAUAAAUAUCGCUCACCCUACUUUGAAGUACGGUGUGUGAUAUUUAUAUAUUAUAUUAUAUUUCCGUAGUUUGAUGGCAACUUUACAGGGACGUGUGCUUAGAAAGUUCGUAGUAAAUAUGUGGAAUGGCACUGAUAUAAUAUUACUUAAAUGUUACAAUGCAGCAGUCUGUAUGUGAACUUAUAUGUUUUUAUUAUUUUAUAGCUAAAUCGAUAUUGAUUGUUGUUUUAAGAUUAUUUUUAUUGUGAUACGAUGAUUCAAAUAAAGUUGUUCUAAUCGCUUAUAUUUGUCUGUUAUUUUUCUAAUAUUUUGUCGGUUGACGUAGGUCAUAAUGCCUUUUGAUUCAUGAUUUUGAAAAAGAUAUGACCGACAGCUCGUAAGCUGUACCGUAGUGAUAUAUUAUAUACAUAUUAUAAUCAAAUUGAUCGCUUAAAAGUCUGAUAUAAAACCGCUAUUAAAUAACAAAUAGGCUUAGAUUUCAAAAGUACUGCGUGAUUAUUUUAUUAUAGUUUACUUAUUGUUAAGCAUUUGAUGCUGUUUUGGCUUUCAUAUUUGAAACAGAAACCACCGAGGUCUAAAUAGUUUUAGGUAACCUAUACUAAGUUUGUUUAAGAGUAAUAUAGUCUUGCGACCCGAUUGUCUUUCGAAAUCUUUAAUUGUCACAAAGUACUUGUGUGUUAAAUGAGCACAGCAAAAAUAUAUUCCGAAAGCGAUUUCCAAGUAUCCAAGCAAAAUGAAUUUAAAAAUUUGAAGAUUAGUGAUUGGAUUUUAAGAAACAAUGUCUAAUUUUAUGUAAUGGAUAAUCUUUAAUCUAAACUUGAACUAUUAUAUGUACUUACUAAGUAUUAACAAUUGCCGAGUUGUUGUGUGGAAAUAUUAUAUUGGAAGUCGUAUUUACUUAUUUCAAAAUUAUGUAAGUAACCAACAUUGUAAAAGUUCAUGACUAAUUUGUGUAAGGCUAGUUGAAAGUUCAUGUUCAAUUAUGAAUUUUGCUUUUUUAGAUUUAGGGUUGCUUAUAAAUAUAUUAUUUCAAAUAUUAUGUAUAUGUUAUCUAUUUAGAAAAUCUUUAAAAGUAUAAAUUGUCUGAAAUGCAAAAUAGUGGUUGACCUGAUAUUUUCAUGAAUAAUAUUGUUGAUGUCCACAAGUUUAGUUUUAAAAAUAGUAAAAUUAAAAGUAAUUAUUCCCUUUUUAUUAUUAAUUUUGUUUACAUAAAUCGUGACGAGUAAAUAGACAACAAUUGGUCAUGUUCUUUGUUGUUAACGUUUUCUGAUAUAAUAUAAUUAUUUUCUAUGGUACUUACUUAAGUUAACGGAUGGGUUGUGCUGUGUGCACUCGAUUCCACACGACUCUCGAUUGUUUUUUUAAAUUUAUUUUAGCUAGCUCAAUAUAGCUAAUUGUAUCUUAAAUGUUUGACUGUAAACCCGAUGACACAACCAAUUAAUUCAUAGAUAUAAUAAAAAAUAUUUAGCAGAGUUUUAAAGUGGUGUAGCUGUAAAACGAAAUUAAGAUACACGCACUAUGGCAUUUCAGUUAAGAAGACCAUCAGCAAGGUACUUUAUAACUCGCAUACAUAUCAAACUUGUACCAACAGCAACUAAAAAUUCAUUUUUCGUAAAGAAAUCUCGAAUUUACUCAAUAAUUCAAGUGAGAGACAUUUCAAGUAAGACUACUGACGGUGUUCUUCUUAGUUGAAAUACAUACAGUGGCAUAGUUUGUAUGUUUCAUCUAUCUAUUGUAAUUCUUGUCACCCCGGUGUAGUGUGUUUUAUGAAUAAGUAAUUAAUGUAAUUAGAACCAACCAAUAAAACUAACACUCAAGAAAGACAAUAUUAAUGGGAAUUUUUGCUUAUGUUUGAAAUCGGCCCAAAUAAAAUCUCAAACUUUUUAUACUUGUAAUGGUUAAUGAAUGAUACUUAUUUUACUUCUAUUGGAUACUAAACGAUGUUAAUUCUUCACUUCCGUUCCUGCUUGGUAUUGAUUAACUUAAAAUUCCUUUAUAUAUCUUCAGGUAAUACUUAUUAUUAUAUUUGUAUGAUUUAAUUAAUAGUAUAAUAAGUAGAAAUUAUAAAUUAGGAUUUAUUUUAAAAAUGAAAUUCAUUUUGUGUUAUUACCACACAAUUGCUACACGUGAGUUUAAACGUUGUCAUGUCAAAUUUCUUGUAUACGUAUAUGUAACGGGAAUGCUUUUACGAGUCCAAAAACCUUUGCCAUAAUCUCCAGGAUGUAAGACGUAACAUGAGCUUGCAGGAUUAGUACGAAAUUUUUAUAGAUAGUUUUCGCUACCUCUCGACAAUCACCUCACACCAUGAUUCUAUUCUCGACAGUGUUACAUUUUGAAGCGUGACGUUCCGUCAUGCCUACAUCUCCCAAACUGUGGGACUCCAGUUUGAAAUGUCAAAGUAAAGAUUAUAAUUCUAUGAAAUCUCAUACUAUACUUAGGAAAAUACUUAAGAGGAAAAUUCCAGAGUAAAAUAGGGAAAUCAGUGAAAAACGCUUUUGUUCACAUAAACCUUCAUGUUGUUUAUGUAUUCGCAACAACCUCCUGGUGUGUUGGAAGAUUAUGUCCCGUUACAUAUACGGCAACUGAUUUUUACUGUCACCAAGCUGAUAUUAAAUAUUUCAAAAUA